Molecule: ribosomal RNA, 390 nt
Filed under: uncultured bacterium
Lineage: Bacteria
Description: bacterial SSU rRNA
Rfam family: Bacterial small subunit ribosomal RNA
Source: RNAcentral
AUUAAACGCUGGCGGCAUGCCUUACACAUGCAAGUCGAACGGCAGCACGGGGGCAACCCUGGUGGCGAGUGGCGGACGGGUGAGUAAAGCAUCGGAACGUAUCCUGGAGUGGGGGGAUAACGUAGCGAAAGUUACGCUAAUACCGCAUAUUCUGUGAGCAGGAAAGCAGGGGAUCGCAAGACCUUGCGCUCUGGGAGCGGCCGAUGUCGGAUUAGCUAGUUGGUGGGGUAAAGGCCUACCAAGGCGACGAUCCGUAGCGGGUCUGAGAGGAUGAUCCGCCACACUGGGACUGAGACACGGCCCAGACUCCUACGGGAGGCAGCAGUGGGGGAAUUUUUGGACAAUGGGCGGAAGCCUGAUCCAGCCAUGCCGCGUGAGUGAAGAAGGCCU